GCCUGGCUGGCUCAAUCGGUAGAGCAUGUGACUCUUGAUCUUGGUGUCGUGAGUUCAAGCCCCAUGUUGGGGG
Molecule: transfer RNA, 73 nt
Filed under: Ailuropoda melanoleuca (giant panda)
Lineage: Eukaryota; Metazoa; Chordata; Mammalia; Carnivora; Ursidae
Rfam family: tRNA
About the family: Transfer RNA (tRNA) molecules are approximately 80 nucleotides in length. Their secondary structure includes four short double-helical elements and three loops (D, anti-codon, and T loops).
Source: Rfam by way of RNAcentral